This 253-nucleotide ribosomal RNA is filed under the name uncultured bacterium. RNAcentral describes it as "partial 16S ribosomal RNA". It matches the Rfam family "Bacterial small subunit ribosomal RNA", at positions 524 to 776 of the family's 1533-position model. The record is from RNAcentral.
UACGAGAGGCCCAAACGUUAUUCGGAUUUACUGGGCUUAAAGAGUUCGUAGGCGGUCCGUCAAGUGAGGUGUGAAAGCCCUCGGCUCAACCGAGGAAUUGCGCUUCAAACUGUCGGGCUCGAGGGAGAUAGAGGUGAGCGGAACUGAUGGUGGAGCGGUGAAAUGCGUUGAUAUCAUCAGGAACACCAGAGGCGAAGGCGGCUCACUGGCCCGAUACUGACGCUGAGGUGCGAAAGCGUGGGGAGCAAACAGG